GGCCUGCGGCUGCUACACAUGCAGUCGAACGGUGAACAGAGCUUGCUCUUGUGGAUCAGUGGCGAACGGGUGAGUAACACGUGAGCAACCUGCCCCUGACUCUGGGAUAAGCGCUGGAAACGGCGUCUAAUACUGGAUAUGUGACGUGACCGCAUGGUCUGCGUUUGGAAAGAUUUUUCGGUUGGGGAUGGGCUCGCGGCCUAUCAUCUUGUUGGUGAGGUAAUGGCUCACCAAGGCGUCGACGGGUAGCCGGCCUGAGAGGGUGACCGGCCACACUGGGACUGAGACACGGCCCAGACUCCUACGGGAGGCAGCAGUGGGGAAUAUUGCACAAUGGGCGAAAGCCUGAUGCAGCAACGCCGCGUGAGGGAUGACGGCCUUCGGGUUGUAAACCUCUUUUAGCAGGGAAGAAGCGAAAGUGACGGUACCUGCAGAAAAAGCGCCGGCUAACUACGUGCCAGCAGCCGCGGUAAUACGUAGGGCGCAAGCGUUAUCCGGAAUUAUUGGGCGUAAAGAGCUCGUAGGCGGUUUGUCGCGUCUGCUGUGAAAUCCCGAGGCUCAACCUCGGGCCUGCAGUGGGUACGGGCAGACUAGAGUGCGGUAGGGGAGAUUGGAAUUCCUGGUGUAGCGGUGGAAUGCGCAGAUAUCAGGAGGAACACCGAUGGCGAAGGCAGAUCUCUGGGCCGUAACUGACGCUGAGGAGCGAAAGGGUGGGGAGCAAACAGGCUUAGAUACCCUGGUAGUCCACCCCGUAAACGUUGGGAACUAGUUGUGGGGUCCAUUCCACGGAUUCCGUGACGCAGCUAACGCAUUAAGUUCCCCGCCUGGGGAGUACGGCCGCAAGGCUAAAACUCAAAGGAAUUGACGGGGACCCGCACAAGCGGCGGAGCAUGCGGAUUAAUUCGAUGCAACGCGAAGAACCUUACCAAGGCUUGACAUAUACGAGAACGGGCCAGAAAUGGUCAACUCUUUGGACACUCGUAAACAGGUGGUGCAUGGUUGUCGUCAGCUCCUGUCGUGACAUGUUGGGUUAAGUCCCCCAACGAGCGCAACCCUCGUUCUAUGUUGCCAGCGCGUAAUGGUGGGAACUCAUGGGAUACUGCCGGGGU
Molecule: ribosomal RNA, 1109 nt
Filed under: Microbacterium paraoxydans
Lineage: Bacteria; Bacillati; Actinomycetota; Actinomycetes; Micrococcales; Microbacteriaceae
Description: bacterial SSU rRNA
Rfam family: Bacterial small subunit ribosomal RNA
Source: RNAcentral